AGGCACGCGGCUCACACUCCUGGCACCCCUGGGGGUAGCUGUUGAGGCCAUGCACCUUCUCGCCUGUCUCACUUCCUUACUACACUGCGUGUGCUCCUCAAUCCCCCAAACCCUUGUCUCAGGUCUGACUCUAGACAAACUCAAGUUUUGCAAGUGGAGCUGAGCUUCCAGGGAACUUUUCAAGAUGGCUGGGACAUUAUGCGAUCAAAACAGAUUUGGGACAAAGGAAUGGUAUGAGCACCUGCCACCAGGUGAGGAACGGUGCUCUCAAAAAGCCCAGGUGAGAGAUUCUCAAACUUAAAGCUUUAUUCAGAAAUAGGGUCUUUGCAUAUGUAACCAAGUUAUGAUGACUUCCUGAGGGUGGUCCCUAAUCCAAUAUGACUGGCGUCCUUAAGAGAAGAGGGGAAUUUGGACACAAACUCACACUCAGAGGAGACACAGUGGGAAGAUGAAGGAAGAGAUCAGAGUGAUGCUGCCAGGGGCCACCAGAACGGGGAAGAGCCAAGAAAAGAUCCUCCCGAAGGGCCUUUGGAGAGAGAAAGACCCUUCCAACACCUUGGUUUCGGACUUCUAGCCUCCAGAUCAGUGGAAGAUCAUGUUUCUGUUGUUUUAAGCCACCCAGUUUGUGGUGCUGUGUAGGGCAGCACUGGGAAACUCAUGUAUGUGGAUUUUGUCAGAAGUCCGCUGAAAAGGCUUCAUUUUCUUUUUUCAAAACAAUAAAGCGAAAUGUUAAAAAAAAAAUUAAGUCCUCCA
Molecule: long non-coding RNA, 753 nt
Filed under: Pan troglodytes (chimpanzee)
Lineage: Eukaryota; Metazoa; Chordata; Mammalia; Primates; Hominidae
Description: lincRNA
Source: RNAcentral